Molecule: long non-coding RNA, 1082 nt
Organism: Trichoplusia ni (cabbage looper)
Lineage: Eukaryota; Metazoa; Arthropoda; Insecta; Lepidoptera; Noctuidae
Exons: 3
Source: RefSeq, a predicted model, not a curated record
CGCGACACGACGCGCGCUGUGGGUUUGGCUUGGGGACCUCAACCACUAUGCUGUUGCCGAGUUAUGCAAAAAGAGCCUUGCGCAGCGCCAUACUGGGAACAACGAUCCACUUAUUCGGCUCCCAUCGGCUUUAUUCAUUAUUUUAUCCGAAGGAAGAUAUGUGCACGAUUGGUUGAUAAAACGAUAAAUAUUAGCUUCACUAAACCAAGUUCUUUAGUUCACAAUUCGUCAUUCGAGAACAUACAUAGUUCAGUGAUUGCCGCGUUCUAAAUUGUUCAAAUUAUUUUUGUAUGUUUUACGUAAAUCAUUAAAAAAGUUUUGAGUAAAAGGCGGUAAAUUGAGCUGUCAAAUUACGUGACCCAACGAAUGCAGUAGAAGGAACUUUGACAACUAGUCAGAUAAUAGUACGAAUAACGAAAAAAUGGAGACUCCCGAUGAAGGUUUCACCAUGACGGCGAGCGGAGGAAUCAAACCUGGAGUUAAGGAGGGCCCACGUAAAAAGUUGCCGACGAAUUUGAACCCGCAUCGGAUGCAAAAGAUAUUCGAUUCCGAAGAAAUAUCGAAAACUCGUACACAUCGUUAUGGAGGGAAAAAUACAAGCGGAGGUGUUGAAGAUGAAGAAAACUGUCCCAAGUUGUGUGUAGUGCAGUUACUUUGAAAUAGGUUUACUAAUUAACCUUUUGAGGUACCUUACUAGUAGGUAUACUUCAUUUAUUAUAACGUUAGAAAAAAGAGGCUCGUAGAAGCAGGAGUGCGAAACAUUUUAUUUCUAUUUUAAAUUACAAAACAAAACAACAACCCAAUAACAACACUAAUAACGAUAAGAAAACAAUAACUAAACAGUUAAAAUCACGAAAACUUGGCAAUAACAACGAACAGGAUGCAGUAUUCACAAGUGAAUGACAUAGAUAGAUACUUUUGUGACAUAUAACUUCAAAUGACAUAAACCGACAAAAUGAGAAAAUCCCUUCUGUCACAACUUAUGAAAGGAUUAGGUAACCUCUUAGAUUUGGUAGGAUUAUACUGAAGGGAAAAACGUUCCGGGUGUUGUGCAUCGCUGCUUCUUUUAAGUUUUUAGCAUU